GGAUAACUUACCCUUAGGACUGGGAUAACUCUGGGAAACUGGGGAUAAUACUGGAUAUUAGGCUAUGCCUGGAAUGGUUUGCCUUUGAAAUGUUUUUUUUCGCCUAAGGAUAGGUCUGCGGCUGAUUAGGUCGUUGGUGGGGUAAUGGCCCACCAAGCCGAUGAUCGGUACGGGUUGUGAGAGCAAGGGCCCGGAGAUGGAACCUGAGACAAGGUUCCAGACCCUACGGGGUGCAGCAGGCGCGAAACCUCCGCAAUGUACGAAAGUGCGACGGGGGGAUCCCAAGUGUUAUGCUUUGUUGUAUGACUUUUCAUUAGUGUAAAAAGCUUUUAGAAUAAGAGCUGGGCAAGACCGGUGCCAGCCGCCGCGGUAACACCGGCAGCUCGAGUGGUAGCUGUUUUUAUUGGGCCUAAAGCGUUCGUAGCCGGUUUGAUAAGUCUUUGGUGAAAGCUUGUAGCUUAACUAUAAGAAUUGCUGGAGAUACUAUUAGACUUGAAGUCGGGAGAGGUUAGAGGUACUACCGGGGUAGGGGUGAAAUCCUAUAAUCCUGGGAGGACCACCUGUGGCGAAGGCGUCUAACUGGAACGAUCUUGACGGUGAGUAACGAAAGCCAGGGGCGCGAACCGGAUUAGAUACCCGGGUAGUCCUGGCCGUAAACGAUGUGGACUUGGUGUUGGAAUGGCUUU
RNAcentral lists this ribosomal RNA (686 nucleotides) under uncultured archaeon. RNAcentral's name for it is "bacterial SSU rRNA". It matches the Rfam family "Archaeal small subunit ribosomal RNA", at positions 102 to 786 of the family's 1478-position model. The record is from RNAcentral.